UUUUAUAGAGCGCUCUUUCUCUUUAGUCUCCCAUUUUCUGCAAUCAGAAUAAUGCAGUGCAUUUCAGGGCCAUUUUCAUUUUUGAAGUGCUCUUUCAUCAUUAGUUAAUAAAUACUCAUCAAUGAAUUUUCCUCCUCGUCUUGGAAGUUGGAGUAAAAAGAAAGAUAAUCGCUUUCUAUUUCGGAGUGUCCUGGCCAUCAGAAAUGACAGAUACACCUGGCAUGCCUGUCACCAGUCCCCUGUGCCACACCCGCGGCAGCCAGCACAACCGAUCACCCUGUGCUCUUUCUCUCGGAAGCCUGCUCUGGUCCCAGAUAAUCAAGACAGGAUUUCAGGAAAUUCAGGAAACUUCAAGCAAUUGAAGGCAGAAAGUCUUCAUACUAAUGGAGGUGUGAUGGAGAUAGCAGGACAUAAAACAGAAGAGGGAGAGAGAGAGAGAGAGAGAGGAGAGAUGGCUGGUAGCAAGUAUGCCGCCGCAAAUAGUUCUAAAUUGCGUUUGCAAAAUGCAGAAGGCUUCAGCACCAUCCAACAAUUCAGACACCCUUUUUAUUUCUUCUCUGCGGGACGCCUCCAUCCAGACUAUUCGCAAAAACACGGAAAAGGUGAGAGCCCUGCCAUCUUAGCUCAGAAUUCAUCUGAUUUCCUUUUUUCCCCCCUGCCUUGUAUUCCUCAGUCCAUUGCCCAUGCAUCCGAUGGCAGCCGCCCUUGCUCUUGAAUGCGAGUGUCACAGCAGGAGCAGAAAGAGGGUUGAGGGAAGGCAUUGUCAAAGCCACGGUCAGCUAUUGUUUCUUUGCUUUCACUGAUCUGCUUUUUUUUUUUCCCCCCUUUCCUGAGGCUUUCCCUUACUAGUGGCCUCUGUCCAGGAGGAGGGAGAAAAUUGCAAGAGUUCACAGAGUAGUAGAGUGAAGCCGUUUUUAUUGCACGCUCUUUGAUAAACAGCUCAGCGAUCCAGUCCACGAAAUUAGGAGAUAAAGCAAGAGUGGAAGGGCUCUGGUGGGAGUGUGAGGGGGGUGGUCUGGGGAGACUGCUCCAGACUAGAUGCCAAAGGCAGUUUCUUUGCAAGGACUUCUGGGGGGGUGGGGGCGGCGGUGUAUUUGUUUUCUGCUGCAUUUUUGGUUUUAAAAAAUCAUGAGAAAAGUCAUAUUCAUCUGUCAGGCUUUCCAUUUGUUUAUUUUUGUUCAGUUCAACAACGAGAUGGAAAAAUUUAAGCAAGGCCAGAUCUGCUGUUUGUGAUUUGCUCAAAUGUUGGAAUCGGUUCAGCCUGAAAUCGGUGAUUGUCUUUUUCAGGAUCAUUUAAGCUUGCAUGUGAAAUGUGUGUGUUAACUUUCCAAAGUACAUUACAAAAAAAAAAAAAAUAAGAUGCUUUUGACCAUCAUUGGUGUGGUUAUAAAUCUUAGGAUUAUGUUAUUUUGCACCUUAACCAGAGAGCUGUUCUUUUGGGCAACAUUUAUGCAAAAGUGAUUAUCUGCUCUGAGCAGGCCAACUCCUCUGAUAACUCCCAAACUUUUCAAAGGUUACAAAGGCACAUGCUCAAAUAGAUUUUUAGGCAAGUAUUUCAAAUGGCCAUUUGGCAUAAGCAUGAAAAUGCUAGGAAUUCUUUCCAGCAACUUUAACUUCAUGUAAUGUCUAUUUCUUCAACUGAAUAAAAAUGAUUAGAUUCAACAUAGAACCAGAAAGCAUAUUUAAAUUUGAAUUCCGUAUUCAAGCAAUUUUGCCAACAAACAAACAAACUUGCAAACUUUAUAAACUUAGUUGCAGUGUAGAAAAACCAUGUCUGUAAUUGAUUCCCCAUAGUUUUCUUCUUUCUAAAUAUUGUACUAUCUGUACUUACAUAGAAAAUUAUUGCAAAUUGAUCACUCCCCCCCGCCCCCCACUUAAG
Long non-coding RNA from Mustela putorius furo (domestic ferret), 1879 nucleotides. NCBI's taxonomy places the organism in Eukaryota, Metazoa, Chordata, Mammalia, Carnivora, Mustelidae. The record is from Ensembl.